RNAcentral lists this long non-coding RNA (644 nucleotides) under Zea mays. RNAcentral describes it as "drought responsive lncRNA". Lineage: Eukaryota; Viridiplantae; Streptophyta; Magnoliopsida; Poales; Poaceae. The record is from RNAcentral.
AUGGCACAGCAAGGUGAGUUUCUGAUUGGACUCCUCAAUGAACUAGCCUGUUGGGCUUUGGCACCUGGAGCAGAGUCAUUCUUCAGGUCCCUUCUGUUAGGAAGGAUUUGGAUGCGCUCCUUGUUUGAGUGCUCCAAAUAUGAAAACCAAGCAGAUAGCUGUACCUUUGAACUUCCUCUUACUUGGAGGACUUUCAGUGUUUCUUCUAUCUGCAGGAAUGUCCUCAGGAGGCUUGGAGCCUUCAUGCUGGUCAAUCUUCCCAAGAAGAAAGGUGUAUUGAGACUUCAAAUGCUUCUAGUUUGUCUUCACUGCAACCGAAACAGUAGCCAGCUGAACAUGCUGACAUGUUAAUGCGGGUGGUCAAGGCUCAGGAUUCAGAGCAGAAGAUACACAUAAAUACUGGUGAAUGAUGCCAUCGACGAUGAUGAAAUGAUCAAACGAUGGAUGAUGCCAUCGAUGAAAGAUGGAAUGGAACUCAAAUUUGGGUGGUCGCACAAGUGUGGAGACUUGAAUUUAUAUAUACUUAGUUAGUCUCAAUGUUAGCAUAAAUAGUUGAUGAGCAAGUUUUCCCAUUGUAUUUUAGUUUGAAUUUAGAGUACAUUUAUGUAAGAGUUAUUUGACAAUGCUUAUUUAUGAGAUAUUGA